Molecule: transfer RNA, 74 nt
Filed under: Coprobacillus sp. AF13-15
Lineage: Bacteria; Bacillati; Bacillota; Erysipelotrichia; Erysipelotrichales; Coprobacillaceae
Also listed under: 6 other names
Description: tRNA-Val
Rfam family: tRNA
About the family: Transfer RNA (tRNA) molecules are approximately 80 nucleotides in length.
Source: RNAcentral
GGCGUAUUAGCUCAGCUGGAAAGAGCACCUCUUUUACGAAGGGGCGGUCGUGGGUUCGAAUCCCACAUACGAAU